Molecule: ribosomal RNA, 586 nt
Filed under: uncultured bacterium
Lineage: Bacteria
Description: bacterial SSU rRNA
Rfam family: Bacterial small subunit ribosomal RNA
Source: RNAcentral
AUGCAGUCGAACGGUGAUAGCAAUAUCAUAGUGGCGCACGGGUGCGUAACACGUAUGCAACCUACCUAUUAUUGGGGGAUAGCCUUUGGAAACGGAGAUUAAUACCGCAUAAUACGAUUGACUGGCAUCGGUUGAUUGUUAAAGCUUAGGCGAUAAUAGAUGGGCAUGCGUCCAAUUAGUUAGUUGGUUAGGUAACGGCUGACCAAGACGAUGAUUGGUAGGGGAUCUGAGAGGAUAAUCCCCCACACUGGCACUGAGAUACGGGCCAGACUCCUACGGGAGGCAGCAGUAGGGAAUAUUGGGCAAUGGGCGGAAGCCUGACCCAGCCAUGCCGCGUGCAGGAAGAAGGCGUUAUGCGUUGUAAACUGCUUUUUUAUAGGAAGAAGGAUCCCUUGCGAGGGAAGGUGACGGUACUAUAAGAAUAAGCACCGGCUAACUCCGUGCCAGCAGCCGCGGUAAUACGGAGGGUGCAAGCGUUGUCCGGAUUUAUUGGGUUUAAAGGGUGCGUAGGCGGUUUAUUAAGUCAGUGGUGAAAGACGGUCGCUCAACGAUUGCAGUGCCAUUGAUACUGGUAGACUUGAGUGAG